Molecule: long non-coding RNA, 731 nt
Filed under: Mytilus galloprovincialis (Mediterranean mussel)
Lineage: Eukaryota; Metazoa; Mollusca; Bivalvia; Mytilida; Mytilidae
Source: RNAcentral
AGGGACCGUAUAUGCUACUUUAAUGUCAUCAUAAUGUAAUAACCAGUUCACGUGUUAACAAGAAGGAGGUAAGACGCCCUACUAUAUCCACUAUAAUUAGAAUAACCGAAUAAAUAAAAGCAUAUAAAUAUUUUAAAAUUCACCUCGGAGUAUACACGAACACCUAUAUAUAAAGUUGACGUUUAUGAAUGAAUAAACUCAUCAUAGAUAUUUUAUUUAAAGGAUUAAUAUUGUGUACGCCAGACAUGCAUUUCGUCUAGAGUCCCUAGUGACACUUGCAUAUAUUUCAAAAAGAAAAGAAAAGAAAAAAAAGAGGCCAAAUAAAGUUGAAAAUAAACUCAUCAUAGAUACCAGGAAUACAAUUUAAUAUUUACGCCAGAUGGGCGUUUCGUCUACAAAAGACUCAUAAUGACGCUCGAAUCAAAAAUGUAUUGAAAGGAGAUGCAGAAUAUACGGCAACGAGAAUUCAAACCGACGACAAUGCACAGUCACUCUUCUAUCCUGUGACACUAAAUACGAACUAGAUGACGACGAGAGUAUUGUAUUCUCAAAACUUUGUGUCAAGCAUGUCUACAGCACAUGUAAACUCUUUUAUCGAUAAACUGUUGGUCAUAAGCGACAAUUACAAUUGCUCAAUUUGAUGUUCCUUUGAUAGUUUGGACUGUCUAAAUGUGUUUUAUGUGUUUUGUUCUAAUGUGUAUAUAUGUUAUGAUAUAAUCUCUGUAUAAAGG